This 343-nucleotide unclassified non-coding RNA is filed under the name uncultured fungus. RNAcentral's name for it is "partial contains 5.8S ribosomal RNA and internal transcribed spacer 2". The stretch from base 1 to 134 matches the Rfam family "5.8S ribosomal RNA", at positions 22 to 154 of the family's 154-position model. The record is from RNAcentral. Lineage: Eukaryota; Fungi.
UGGUUCUGGCAUCGAUGAAGAACGCAGCGAAAUGCGAUAAGUAAUGCGAAUUGCAGAAUUCCAGUGAGUCAUCGAAUCUUUGAACGCACAUUGCGCCCUUUGGUAUUCCGAAGGGCAUGCCUGUUCGAGCGUCAUUAUCACCCCUCGAGCCCUGUGCUUGGUGUUGGACGGCUGGUCGAGCGAUCGACCCCUCCUAAAGACAAUGACGGCGGCCUGUGGUUCCCCCGGUACACUGAGCUUUUAACCGAGCACGUACCGGACGAGGGCGCCCAGGACCCGGUCCUCUCCUUUUGUUAGGAAACUUCUGAAGGUUGACCUCGGAUCAGGUAGGAAUACGCGCUGA